GGAAUAUUGGGCAAUGGUCGCAAGACUGACACAGCCAUGCCGCGUGCAGGAAGACGGCCCUCUGGGUUGUAAACUGCUUUUAUCUGGGAAGAAAAAGUCCAUGCGUGGAAAAUUGCCGGUACCGGAUGAAUAAGCACCGGCUAACUCCGUGCCAGCAGCCGCGGUAAUACGGAGGGUGCAAGCGUUGUCCGGAUUUAUUGGGUUUAAAGGGUGCGUAGGCGGCUGAAUAAGUCAGCGGUGAAAGACUUCGGCUUAACCGGAGCAGUGCCGUUGAUACUGUUUAGCUUGAGUGUUGGAGGGGUACAUGGAAUUGAUGGUGUAGCGGUGAAAUGCAUAGAUACCAUCAGGAACACCGAUAGCGAAGGCAUUGUACUGGCCAACAACUGACGCUGAGGCACGAAAGUGUGGGGAUCGAACAGGAUUAGAUACCCUGGUAGUCCACACCGUAAACGAUGAUUACUCGCUGUUAUGGUGUAUGCUGUAGCGGCCAAGCGAAAGCGUUAAGUAAUCCACCUGGGGAGUACGCCGGCAACGGUGAAACUCAAAUGAAUUGACGG
RNAcentral lists this ribosomal RNA (557 nucleotides) under uncultured bacterium. RNAcentral's name for it is "bacterial SSU rRNA". It matches the Rfam family "Bacterial small subunit ribosomal RNA", at positions 358 to 916 of the family's 1533-position model. The record is from RNAcentral.